AACUCUGAAUAUGCCAAUCUACUACCCUCUAGAAGACUAUGGAGUCUCUGAUGAGAAAUCAGCUAUUAAUCUUAUCAAGGAUCCUUAAGACCUCUACAAAAGAAUAAAACUCAUGAAGUACCAAUCCUUCUAAUGGGUAAAAAUGCUCAAAAGGGAAAUUUAAAAAUUAAAAGUAAGUCCACUGGUUGAGAUGUUUGUAAGUGUGCAUAGCAGCAAACAGAUGAGGACUAAAGAAAACAGUUAUGGCAAAAGGAAGGAAUUCACCAUGCAGUAGCAUUUGACUAUGAUGACAUAGCUAAAAAACUACACAGAAACAACUUAAAUAUGCCUGCUUGAAAGCAUUCCUAGUACUGAAUAUACAAAUUUAGAAAUCCAUAUUUCUAAAACUCCUUGCUUCAUUUCUAUUAAUAACUAGACAAGCCUGAAAUUACAUUUUCACUAAUGUAUAUUCUUAGAGCUAUGUGACUCUCAAAGGUUUAUCAAUAAUUUUAAAUCAAAUAAAAACAAUUUAUCUGACAUUGUAGUAUGUCUGAAAUGUACUUAAUGAAGCAAGUAUCUAAAGUCCAUCACUGUGCUCUAUAAAGCACAAAAUAAAAGAUAAAACAUCCCUAUUCUCAAAGAGCUUACACCCUUAUGUGGCAGGGGAGGGAGGGCAGUAACAGUCACUUAACCAUUCUGAACUGGUUUCAUUAUCUGGGUAAUUUAUUUUCCUUUUGAGACAGAGUCUAGCUUUGUUGCCCAGGCUGGAGUGCUGUGGUACAAUCUUAGCUCGCUGCAACCUCCACCUCUCAGGUUCAAGUGAUACUCCUGCCUCAUCUUCCUGAGUAGCUGAAAUUACAGGUGCGUGCCACCACGCCCAGUGAAUUUUUGUAUUUUUAGUAGAGACGGGGUUUUACCAUGUUGGCCAGGCUGGUCUCGAGCUCCUGACCUCAAGUGAUCUGCCCGCCUUGGCCUCCUAAAGUGCUGGGAUUACAGGCGUGAGCCACUGCACCCAGCCCUAUCUGGGUAAUUUCUAACAUCCUUUCUAGUGCUGACAUUCUAUGAUUUUACAUAGAUAUAAUAACCAUUUAUUGAGUACCCACUGUGUACAAGGUACUACUAUGCAUUUGUGUACAUUACCCCUAAUUUAAAAAACUUGCACUGCAGGUAUUAUCUCCAUUUUACCUGAAUUCUCCUCUGUAAUUAAAGGCCUUGGUCAAGAUUAUACAACCAGUAAUGAGUAUCACUGAGAUCCAUAAUGUAGCAUAUCACUGUUCAUAGGUGUUACAGGUUUUAACAGAUGUUUAUGUUGUUAUAACUGGAAACCAAUAUUCAGUUGACCCUCUAUCUGAAUACUGAAAAGACUAUCAAGUUUUCUUAUGCAUCUGACAAUUUAUGAUGCUAAGGCUAGAAACUACUUUCAGAACUUUGGUAAGGUAUUUUAAGAAAAAAAUUUCAAAAAGUACUGACAGUACAAAUAUAGAACUAGAAAAAAAUACUUUAGGUACAUGUGAUUUCUAAUUUGUAAGAAAAGCAGGCUAAGGCUAGCCAAAGAACUUCACUGAGGAGACUUAUGUAGUCCAUUGAGAAAAUUCUCAGGACAACCUGGACCUGAUCAUGAAAUCCUUCUCUGGACCAGAUUAAAUCAAAAUAAAAGUGAGUAAAUGAUCCUUUUUGCUUCUUGUUAUUCAACUCUGAAGGAUGUGCAAAUUCUAGACUUUGAAGAAAAUAUGCAGAGUAUCUAAAUAGAGCUUUUGGCUUCCUGUUAUCUAACUCCCUUGCAUGCUAUCAAGGGCUGCAAUGUUGAAUUUUGGUACAAAUAUGAUGAGAAUGAAGAGAAAUAGCUUUAAUUCAAAAUAAGUCACCAAGAUUUUUGCCCUAGAGUUUUUGUCAUUAUAUUCAGAACUUCACUAAGUGGGGUGACAAACAAGGAAAACUUGCUUGUAGGAGACAAGACCCUAUAAAAAUUACCAAGUCUGGUUUCACAGUUGUCAAAUAUAAACGUUUAUUUCUGUAAUAUUAAUUCUUGGAACACCAUGAAAAGUUAGCAGUGUAUAUUGUAAUCCCUAGAGGAACCACUAAAAAAUGAAUGCAAAGGUAUACAGCUAAAGAACCAAAGAUUAAUGGGCUAAAAAACACUCAAUCCAAAAGAAUGCCAAAAAAGGGAAGAAAAAAAAAA
This is a non-coding RNA of Macaca mulatta (Rhesus monkey), 2158 nucleotides long. Lineage: Eukaryota; Metazoa; Chordata; Mammalia; Primates; Cercopithecidae. The record is from RefSeq and is a predicted model, not a curated record.